UACGUAGGGGGCGAGCGUUGUCCGGAUUUAUUGGGCGUAAAGCGCACGCAGGCGGUCUUUUACGUUUUGAGUGACAGGUGGUGGCUCAACCACCACAGGCCUUGAAAUACGGGAAGACUUGAGGACGAGAGAGGGAUGCGGAAUUCCAGGUGGAGCGGUGAAAUGCGUAGAGAUCUGGAAGAACACCAAAGGCGAAGGCAGCAUCCUGGCUCGUAUCUGACGCUGAUGUGCGAAAGCUAGGGGAGCGAACGGG
Molecule: ribosomal RNA, 253 nt
Filed under: uncultured bacterium
Lineage: Bacteria
Description: partial 16S ribosomal RNA
Rfam family: Bacterial small subunit ribosomal RNA
Source: RNAcentral